CAUCUGCCCCAUUAUCCUCCAAAUUAUAUUCCAUAUGCUCACUACUUUUCCCCAUAUUAUGUUCCACCAACAGCCAUCCAUCAAUUCUUAAGCAAUGGUGCAUUUCCCCAGCAACCUCAGGCUGGUGGCGUAUAUCCACCUCCACCAUCCGCUGCUGCUGGUAGAUACUCACAUUCACAAUAUAGGCCAGGAGCUAAUGUGGGAAACUCAACUCACAGUGGAGUGCCCGGCUCAUAUGGGCCAUAUGGAUCCUCCACAGCCAACUAUUGUAUAUCCACCUCCACCAUCCGCUGUUGCUGGCAGAUACUCACUUUCACAAUAUAGGCCAGGAGCUAAUGUGGGAAACUCAACUCACAGUGGAGUACCUGGCUCAUAUGGGCCAUAUGGAUCCUCCACAGCCAACUGUAACCCUAGUUCAACUACAGCAGCUGGUAACCCUGCUUCUAAUGAUGAUCUUUCUGUGGCUCAAUUUA
RNAcentral lists this long non-coding RNA (473 nucleotides) under Nicotiana benthamiana. RNAcentral's name for it is "long non-coding RNA (NBEN_LNC033196)". The record is from RNAcentral. Lineage: Eukaryota; Viridiplantae; Streptophyta; Magnoliopsida; Solanales; Solanaceae.